CACGGGGAGGUAGUGACGAAAAAUAACGAUACGGGACUCAUCCGAGGCCCCGUAAUCGGAAUGAGUACACUCUAAAUCCUUUUGCAAGGACCAAUUGAAGGGCAAGUCUGGUGCCAGCAGCCGCGGUAAUUCCAGCUUCAAUAGCGUAUAUUAAAGUUGUUGCGGUUAAAAAGCUCGUAGUCGAAUUUGUGUCCCGCGCCGCUGGUUCAUCGCUCGCGGUGUUCAACUGGCGUGUUUCGCGGGACGUCCUGCCGGUGGGCUCUUCGGAUUGAUUGCUUCGGCGGUCGUUCGUGGCCCAACUCGUAUCCGUAUAACGCGGGUGCGAAUCCCAUCGCGGUGCUCUUUAUUGAGUGUCGAGGUGGGCCGGCACGUUUACUUUGAACAAAUUAGAGUGCUUAAAGCAGGCCAAUUUUGCCUGAAUAUUGUGUGCAUGGAAUAAUAGAAUAGGACCUCGUUUCUAUUUUGUUGGUUUUCGGAACCACGAGGUAAUGAUUAAUAGGAACGGAUGGGGGCAUUCGUAUUGCGACGUUAGAGGUGAAAUUCUUGGAUCGUCGCAAGACGGACAGAAGCGAAAGCAUUUGCCAAAAACGUUUUCAUUGAUCAAGAACGAAAGUUAGAGGUUCGAAGGCGAUCAGAUACCGCCCUAGUUCUAACCAUAAACGAUGCCAGCUAGCGAUCCGCCGACGUUCCUCCGAUGACUCGGCGGGCAGCUUCCGGGAAACCAAAGCUUUUGGGUUCCGGGGGAAGUAUGGUUGCAAAGCUGAAACUUAAAGGAAUUGACGGAAGGGCACCACCAGGAGUGGAGCCUGCGGCUUAAUUUGACUCAACACGGGGAAAUUUACCAGGCCC
This 849-nucleotide ribosomal RNA is filed under the name Blepharhymenus sp. ZMUN 10008487. RNAcentral describes it as "bacterial SSU rRNA". It matches the Rfam family "Eukaryotic small subunit ribosomal RNA", at positions 455 to 1225 of the family's 1831-position model. Lineage: Eukaryota; Metazoa; Arthropoda; Insecta; Coleoptera; Staphylinidae. The record is from RNAcentral.